Molecule: ribosomal RNA, 579 nt
Filed under: Pseudoalteromonas sp.
Lineage: Bacteria; Pseudomonadati; Pseudomonadota; Gammaproteobacteria; Alteromonadales; Pseudoalteromonadaceae
Description: bacterial SSU rRNA
Rfam family: Bacterial small subunit ribosomal RNA
Source: RNAcentral
GGAUAUUGCACAAUGGGCGCAAGCCUGAUGCAGCCAUGCCGCGUGUGUGAAGAAGGCCUUCGGGUUGUAAAGCACUUUCAGUCAGGAGGAAAGGUUAGUAGUUAAUACCUGCUAGCUGUGACGUUACUGACAGAAGAAGCACCGGCUAACUCCGUGCCAGCAGCCGCGGUAAUACGGAGGGUGCGAGCGUUAAUCGGAAUUACUGGGCGUAAAGCGUACGCAGGCGGUUUGUUAAGCGAGAUGUGAAAGCCCCGGGCUCAACCUGGGAACUGCAUUUCGAACUGGCAAACUAGAGUGUGAUAGAGGGUGGUAGAAUUUCAGGUGUAGCGGUGAAAUGCGUAGAGAUCUGAAGGAAUACCGAUGGCGAAGGCAGCCACCUGGGUCAACACUGACGCUCAUGUACGAAAGCGUGGGGAGCAAACGGGAUUAGAUACCCCGGUAGUCCACGCCGUAAACGAUGUCUACUAGAAGCUCGGAGCCUCGGUUCUGUUUUUCAAAGCUAACGCAUUAAGUAGACCGCCUGGGGAGUACGGCCGCAAGGUUAAAACUCAAAUGAAUUGACGGGGGCCCGCACAAGCU